CUCAGAACGAACGCUAGCGGUGCGUUUUAAGCAUGCAAGUCGAACGGGAUUAUUUUUCUAUUUUAUAGAAAGAUAUGAGAGUGGCGAACGGGUGAGUAACACGUAGGUAAUCUGCCUAUCAAAUCGGGAUAGCCAGUGGAAACAUUGGGUAAUACCGGAUACGUACUAUGCAAGGAAUUGUAUAAUAGAAAGGGUACUUUUGUGCCGUUGAUAGAGGAGCCUGCGCUUGAUUAGCUAGUUGGUGAGGUAAAAGCUUACCAAGGCGACGAUCAAUAGCCGGCCUGAGAGGGUGAUCGGCCACACUGGGACUGAGACACGGCCCAGACUCCUACGGGAGGCAGCAGCUAAGAAUCUUCCGCAAUGGGCGAAAGCCUGACGGAGCGACACCGCGUGAAUGAUGAAGGCCGUGAGGUUGUAAAAUUCUUUUCUAGCUGAGGAAUAAACAUUGUGCGAAAGUGCAGUGCGAUGACGGUAAGCUAGGAAUAAGCCCCGGAGGUU
Molecule: ribosomal RNA, 498 nt
Filed under: uncultured bacterium
Lineage: Bacteria
Description: bacterial SSU rRNA
Rfam family: Bacterial small subunit ribosomal RNA
Source: RNAcentral